UACGGAGGGUGCAAGCGUUAUCCGGAUUCACUGGGUUUAAAGGGUGCGUAGGUGGUCAGUUAAGUCCGUGGUGAAAUCUCCGGGCUCAACCCGGAAACUGCCAUUGAUACUAUCUGUCUUGAAUAUCGUGGAGGUAAGCGGAAUAUGUCAUGUAGCGGUGAAAUGCUUAGAUAUGACAUAGAACACCAAUUGCGAAGGCAGCUUACUACCCGAAUAUUGACACUGAGGCACGAAAGCGUGGGGAGCGAUCCGG
Molecule: ribosomal RNA, 253 nt
Filed under: uncultured bacterium
Lineage: Bacteria
Description: partial 16S ribosomal RNA
Rfam family: Bacterial small subunit ribosomal RNA
Source: RNAcentral